GCAAGUGACUCUGGUAGCCUGGACUUGAGUAGGUUGGCCGGCCACACGUGGAGAUCUGAGACACCGGUCUCAGAUCUCCAUAACGGGAGGCAGCAGUGGGGAAUCUUGCACAAUGGACUGAAAGUCUGAUGCAUGCAACGCCGCGUGGGGGAUGAAGCUUUUCGGAGUGUAAACCCCUUUCGACCCGGAAGAAAGCCCGCAAGGGUUUGACGGUACGGGUAUAAGAAGCCCCGGCUAACUACGUGCCAGCAGCCGCGGUAAAACGUAGGGGGCCAGCGUUGCUCGGGAAUUACUGGGCGUAAAGGGUGCGUAGGCGGUUGGGUAAGUCUGACGUGAAAUCUCCGGGCCUAACCCGGAAACUGCGUCGGAUACUAUCCGGCUAGAGGGAUUGGAAGGGAGACUGGAAUAAUUUGGUGUUAAGCCAGUUGAAAUGCGUAGAUUUCAAGUGGAAAACCAGUUGGGCGAAGGCGAAGUCUCUUGGAACAAUUCCUGAACGGCUUUGAGGGCACGAAAAGUCCAGGGGAAGGCAAAACGGGGAUUUAGAAUACCCCCCCGGGGUAGAGUUCCCUUGGGGCCCCU
This 579-nucleotide ribosomal RNA is filed under the name uncultured bacterium. RNAcentral describes it as "bacterial SSU rRNA". It matches the Rfam family "Bacterial small subunit ribosomal RNA", at positions 268 to 798 of the family's 1533-position model. The record is from RNAcentral.